Odocoileus virginianus texanus is the source of this 311-nucleotide long non-coding RNA. RefSeq lists it as uncharacterized. Lineage: Eukaryota; Metazoa; Chordata; Mammalia; Artiodactyla; Cervidae. The record is from RefSeq and is a predicted model, not a curated record.
CACAGGAAGUGAAGGCUUGGCCUUGUCUAUGAAAGGAAACAGAGAGACUGAAACUUUCACCCUUAUUUCUACCCGAGAUACAAGCACAUGCCUGAAGCUCCGGAAGAGGUGGCAAAUCCAGGGGAAAGUCAAGGGAAUGAUAGAUAGGCUAUUAAUGCAUUAUCAAAGAGGGAAGCCAAUGCUGGCAGUUGACAAAGCUCAUUGUGAUGAUUCAGUGAGUCAACAUAUGCAAGACCUUUGGAAGGGGGCCUGAGACAUGGUACAUACUCUAUCAUGUUCCCUCUAACAACAAACAUCCUCUUACUUCACUA